This 211-nucleotide small nucleolar RNA is filed under the name Amborella trichopoda. RNAcentral describes it as "snoRNA Plant_U3". It matches the Rfam family "Plant small nucleolar RNA U3". From Rfam's summary of the family: Small nucleolar RNAs (snoRNAs) are involved in the processing and modification of rRNA in the nucleolus. There are two main classes of snoRNAs: the box C/D class, and the box H/ACA class. U3 snoRNA is a member of the box C/D class. Lineage: Eukaryota; Viridiplantae; Streptophyta; Magnoliopsida; Amborellales; Amborellaceae. The record is from Rfam by way of RNAcentral.
AAGAGCUCACUUGAACGGGAUCUGUUUUAGUGGUUGUACAUCCGUUUCCAUUGACACAAUGGAGACACGCACAACAAUUUGGAAGAUGACAUAAUUGCCACGUGGCUAAAGUGUGAAUGCUGGCACUGCAGGGGCUUCAUCAGCCCUCGGUGAUCGCUCUCACAACCAACAACGGGCUGAUGAAGAUGGCCAUCUGGCCGUCUGACAGACC